UGCGAUAAGUAAUGUGAAUUGCAGAGUUCAGUGAAUCAUCGAGUCUUUGAACGCACAUUGCGCCCCCUGGCAUUCCGGGGGGCAUGCCUGUCCGAGCGUCAUUGCUGCCCUCAAGCCCGGCUUGUGUGUUGGGUCGUCGUCCCCCCCGGGGGACGGGCCCGAAAGGCAGCGGCGGCACCGUGUCCGGUCCUCGAGCGUAUGGGGCUUUGUCACCCGCUCGAUUAGGGCCGGCCGGGCGCCAGCCGGCGUCUCCAACCUUAUUUUUCUCAGGUUGACCUCGGAUCAGGUAGGGAUACCCGCUGAACUUAAGC
RNAcentral lists this unclassified non-coding RNA (311 nucleotides) under plant metagenome. RNAcentral's name for it is "partial contains 5.8S ribosomal RNA, internal transcribed spacer 2, and large subunit ribosomal RNA". The stretch from base 1 to 101 matches the Rfam family "5.8S ribosomal RNA", at positions 54 to 154 of the family's 154-position model. The record is from RNAcentral.